RNAcentral lists this ribosomal RNA (253 nucleotides) under uncultured bacterium. RNAcentral describes it as "partial 16S ribosomal RNA". It matches the Rfam family "Bacterial small subunit ribosomal RNA", at positions 524 to 776 of the family's 1533-position model. The record is from RNAcentral.
UACGGAGGGUGCAAGCGUUGUCCGGAAUUAUUGGGCGUAAAGCGCGCGCAGGCGGUCCUUUAAGUCUGAUGUGAAAGCCCACGGCUCAACCGUGGAGGGUCAUUGGAAACUGGGGGACUUGAGUACAGAAGAGAAGAGUGGAAUUCCACGUGUAGCGGUGAAAUGCGUAGAGAUGUGGAGGAACACCAGUGGCGAAGGCGACUCUUUGGUCUGUAACUGACGCUGAGGCGCGAAAGCGUGGGGAGCGAACAGG